CCUACGGGUGGCUGCAGUGGGGAAUAUUGGACAAUGGGCGAAAGCCUGAUCCAGCCAUGCCGCGUGUGUGAAGAAGGCCUUCGGGUUGUAAAGCACUUUCAGUGGGGAAGAAAGCCUUGGGGCUAAUACCCUCGAGGAAGGACAUCACCCACAGAAGAAGCACCGGCUAACUCCGUGCCAGCAGCCGCGGUAAUACGGAGGGUGCGAGCGUUAAUCGGGAUUACUGGGCGUAAAGCGCGCGUAGGCGGUCUGAUAAGCCGGUUGUGAAAGCCCCGGGCUCAACCUGGGAACGGCAUCCGGAACUGUCAGGCUAGAGUGCAGGAGAGGAAGGUAGAAUUCCCGGUGUAGCGGUGAAAUGCGUAGAGAUCGGGAGGAAUACCAGUGGCGAAGGCGGCCUUCUGGACUGACACUGACGCUGAGGUGCGAAAGCGUGGGUAGCAAACAGGAUUAGAUACCCUGGUAGUC
RNAcentral lists this ribosomal RNA (465 nucleotides) under Vreelandella stevensii. Its description in RNAcentral is "partial 16S ribosomal RNA". It matches the Rfam family "Bacterial small subunit ribosomal RNA", at positions 338 to 795 of the family's 1533-position model. Lineage: Bacteria; Pseudomonadati; Pseudomonadota; Gammaproteobacteria; Oceanospirillales; Halomonadaceae. The record is from RNAcentral.